CAAUAGCGUAUAUUAAAGUUGUUGCAGUUAAAAAGCUCGUAGUUGGAUUUUGAGUUUGGUAAAAUCGGUCUGCUUUUUGCAGUACUGACUUGCCUGCUCUUCUUCUCGAGGCCUAUGGAUGUACUUAACCGUAUGUUCAUAGUGUUCGGGACUUUUACCGUGAGAAAAUUAGAGUGUUCAUAGCAGGCUUUUGCUUGAAUAUUGCAGCAUGGAAUAAUGGAAUAGGAUCAUGAUCUUAUUUUGUUGGUUUCUAAGAUCAAGAUAAUGAUUAAUAGGGAUAGUUGGGGGCAUUAAUAUUUAGUUGUCAGAGGUGGAAUUCUUAGAUUUACAAAAGAUUAACUUCUGCGAAAGCAUUUGCCAAGGAUGUUUUCGUUAA
RNAcentral lists this ribosomal RNA (376 nucleotides) under uncultured eukaryote. RNAcentral describes it as "partial 18S ribosomal RNA". It matches the Rfam family "Eukaryotic small subunit ribosomal RNA", at positions 592 to 976 of the family's 1831-position model. The record is from RNAcentral.